Molecule: long non-coding RNA, 2834 nt
Organism: Folsomia candida
Lineage: Eukaryota; Metazoa; Arthropoda; Collembola; Entomobryomorpha; Isotomidae
Exons: 3
Source: RefSeq, a predicted model, not a curated record
AAAACUGCUGAAAAUGCUUAGGUAAAUACAUACAUCGUAUUUUCAUGUACGUGUGUUAUUUCAAUAAGUAUGGCAUUCAGAAAAACGAAUUGCAUGCAUUAGCAGAAUUUAAUAAGCGGCUACAUUUUUCCUUUCCAAUUUUUAUUUUUGUGCAGUAGUGCUUUUAAUUGUAGUCUGCCUUCUGUUCUAAGAGUUCUUCAAUGUCAUAGGUAUGAAUUUGUUGAGAUGGUUGUGUGUCAUGUGAAUCUCCUUAAACGUUUGUUGCAUUUUUUAUAGUGUUUUACGUACUAUGUAAGCGUACGUAUGUCUACGAGUAUUAUCUAUACGAUACGAUAAUAUACAAUUAGUUGUUGAUGGAGUUAUUUAGAUUGUGCCACCACUCCAACCAACCAACAAUUCGUGUCAUGAAUCAGUAGACCUAAGCAAAACUGCACAUGAUCGCCUUCAUCCAUAAGUUGUUAAUAAACUAACAUGAUUACAUAUAUUAUGUCAACUAACUUCUUUCUUGUCCAUUUGUUGUGUUCCUGUAUGCAAUGCAGUAGUAUUUACUUAAACUGCAUAGCAGAACCUAUUUUGUGUACUUUUUUUUGUUUCAGAAUGGUAAGUAUUCCAAUAGUCUGCGUUGCCUGUACUUGAAUUCCUGAAAUGAGUUCCUCAAUUUGUUACAUACUGAUAAAUGCAUUGAUUGAAAAUGCAAAGCAAGACCCUGGUCUAGUUUGUAACCCAGAUUCCUAUAAUUUUGUAAGCGAGAUCCAUGACUCUUUCAGUUCCUAAAAUGUUUAUUUGAGUGGACAUGACUAUCAAUAUAUGUAUGGUGUCAAUAAACUAUCUGUCCCUAGCCAUGCUGACAAACCCCAAUUAUAUGUCAAAGAUACGUUACAUGUACUUCACAUGAGAAAUAAAAUCUAGUGACCCGAAAGGAUAAAUUACAAGGGUUACUCUCAUUUUUCAUACUAUAGAAGAUCUAAGAAAAUGUUCUUGUUAUUCUGUUCGAAGUUUUACAGCCGUCCAUCUUUAAAAGUGCGUCUGGAUCUCUUCGUUAGUCAAAUGAGUGUGUGCUGGUGACCCAAUGUUGUAAAUCUACCCGAGAUAAAAACGAGGAAAAAGUUUUUCUUUGGUUUAUUGUCGUCAUUCGCCUUCUCUUAUGAAAUUGUGAUGUUAAAUAUGGCAGUUGAAGCCAAGUGUACCGUAAGUGGACUAAGACAGAUUUCCUUUAUAAGGGAUUGCUAUACACACGCACACGCACUUUUCGGGGUGGGUGGUACCUUUUCCCUCAUAGAAUCAGAUUUUUAUGAAAUCAUCAGCAUGAGAAGCAUAACCACAUAAACAUUUCAAAUGUCCACGUAUUGCUGAUAGAGUCAUCGGGUUUUACCAAAAUAUGUAGUCCAUUGGCCUGCUCCUGCCAUUUUCAUGACCAUGAUAAAUAACUGGAUAUGGGGAUAACAUAAUUUUUUUGGCUAAUAAAGUCGUGUGGAGAAAAUAAUGCCGUAAAUCUAAUGAUAUUUCAUGUUCCAUAAACCUCAUUCAGCCAGUGCUAGCAGUUUAUUAUAGCAACUCCAAAAAAUCUAUGUACGCGUGUUCAUACAUAUAUUCAAGCACAUACUUCCAGACAUACGUAUCCAUCCAUAUAUGUGUCCUCCAACAAUGCGUGGAUGAAGUUUGUUGGUGCUUUUGCAACUUACGCAGCUUUCUCUCAUCCACCUAUACGUAAAUGUCAUCACAAUCUGUGAUCUUGACUUUUCCUUCUACAGAUCUUCUCUAACUUUCUCCACUCACGACAACGCUCUUCCUGUUGUUUCCUCCCUUCUCAACAACUGCUUCUCUUCAAGUAAUAAACCUUUGUCACGGAUAUGUGAUUCUUGAAGAAAAUAUGAUAAGACUAUGAGAAUAAAGAAAAUAUGAUGGUAAAAGAAAAAAAAUAUAUAAUAUGUGCUCGAGCACGUUGUUGGUCAUUUCAUUUCUGACCCAUUCAAAUAAAUUAGGACUUAAAGAAUCAAUAAUUGGAACAUGUAUAAGCAAGUGCGCCACGUGGAGCCCUUAUCUUGACCCCAAUGGUCGAAAACUUUCUCUCUAUCACUUGUACUUCCAUGUAGGAUCUUGUCAUGUGAGUGUGACGUGUUUAUACGCGUGUGUUACCCAGCAUUCUGAACUCUGAGAUCAACAAAGCACUUCCCGACGACGAAUAUCUUUCGGAUGCCAAGUUGGGAGUUACAUAACAUCAACUUUUACUCGCCAAAAGUUGUUGGUUUUGUGGUGGUGUGGGGGAGUAGUGACGAGAUAAAUAAAAAAGAACUUUAUUUUACGAUCACCAACCCCAUUGUACGUGUAAUACUUAUGCGACUUCCUGCCGCUGAUCAGCCAUCCACGACACUACGGGCCUAAUUUCGGCCAUCGAUUGUUUCUCCACGUGUCCGAACGAAACAUAGAAACUUACAAGAUUUUUAGUGGAGGAAAUAUGGCGACAAUGAAUUAUUAUUUUACGGCUCAUCUUUUUACGCAACUUUUCCAGUUCUUCCUAGAUUGGGAACAUUAGUGAAACGGAUUUCUGAGGCCAGUUCCAGUUGUUCAAAAAUAGUUAUCUGCAAGAAUGUAAAGUUUUUUGUUUUUAAAAUUAUAAUUUUAAAAUUAAAUACGCGAUGUUUAGUAUUGUUUAGCUUACAGCAUUGUCUCCCGUGUUCAGUAAAGGAGAAGGAAUGUACAGAGUUUGUUGUGGUCCAACUUUAAAGUAGCGUCUGCAUUGAAUAAUAACCGAUUGUAAUAAUAUACCAAAUAGAUAUUUACAAUGAUGAUAAUAAUAAUAAUAAAUAACCCAAUGUUGAAUCCGUUCACAAAAA